UGGGGACUUUUGGACAAUGGACGCAAGUCUGAUCCAGCCAUGCCGCGUGCGGGAAGAAGGCCUUCGGGUUGUAAACCGCUUUUGUCAGGGAAGAAACGAGUUUCUCUAAUACAGAGACUUAAUGACGGUACCUGAAGACUAAGCACCGGCUAACUACGUGCCAGCAGCCGCGGUAAUACGUAGGGUGCAAGCGUUAAUCGGAAUUACUGGGCGUAAAGCGUGCGCAGGCGGUUAUGCAAGACAGAUGUGAAAUCCCCGGGCUCAACCUGGGAACUGCAUUUGUGACUGGAUAGCUGGAGUGCGGCAGAGGGGGAUGGAAUUCCACGUGUAGCAGUGAAAUGCGUAGAGAUGUGGAGGAACACCGAUGGCGAAGGCAGCCCCCUGGGAUAACACUGGCGCUCAUGCACGAAAGCGUGGGGAGCGAACA
RNAcentral lists this ribosomal RNA (427 nucleotides) under uncultured bacterium. Its description in RNAcentral is "bacterial SSU rRNA". It matches the Rfam family "Bacterial small subunit ribosomal RNA", at positions 355 to 774 of the family's 1533-position model. The record is from RNAcentral.